Molecule: ribosomal RNA, 582 nt
Filed under: Metschnikowia gelsemii
Lineage: Eukaryota; Fungi; Ascomycota; Pichiomycetes; Serinales; Metschnikowiaceae
Description: LSU rRNA
Rfam family: Eukaryotic large subunit ribosomal RNA
Source: RNAcentral
CUCAUCCCCGUAAGACUACCCGCUGAACUUAAGCAUAUCAAUAAGCGGAGGAAAAGAAACCAACAGGGAUUGCCUCAGUAACGGCGAGUGAAGCGGCAAAAGCUCAAAUUUGAAAUCCCUCGGGAAUUGUAAUUUGAAGGUGGCUCAAGCAACCCCAAAAGUUCCUAAGUCCAUUGGAAAAUGGCGCCAUAGAGGGUGAUAGCCCCGUCUGGAACACUUUUGAGGCCUAUCUUGGACCACCAAAGAGUCGAGUUGUUUGGGAAUGCAGCUCUAAGUGGGUGGUAAAUUCCAUCUAAAGCUAAAUAUUGGCGAGAGACCGAUAGCGAACAAGUACAGUGAUGGAAAGAUGAAAAGCACUUUGAAAAGAGAGUGAAAAAGUACGUGAAAUUGUUGAAAGGGAAGGGCUUGCAAGCAGACACAACUUUUUGUUGGGCCAGCAUCGGGGCGAGGGGGGUCAAAAAUGCAUGGGAAUGUAGCUCAUUGAGUAUUAUAUCCCAUGUUUCAUCCCCAUCUCAUCCCGAGGCCUGCGAUUCUAGGAUGCUGGCGUAAUGGUUGCAAGUCGCCCGUCUUGAAACACGGACC